Molecule: ribosomal RNA, 468 nt
Filed under: uncultured bacterium
Lineage: Bacteria
Description: partial 16S ribosomal RNA
Rfam family: Bacterial small subunit ribosomal RNA
Source: RNAcentral
GACGAACGCUGGCGGCGUGCUUAACACAUGCAAGUCGAACGGAAAGGCCCUGCUUUUGUGGGGUGCUCGAGUGGCGAACGGGUGAGUAACACGUGAGUAACCUGCCCUUGACUUUGGGAUAACUUCAGGAAACUGGGGCUAAUACCGGCUAGGAGCUCCUGCUGCAUGGUGGGGGUUGGACAGUUUCGGCGGUUGGGGAUGGACUCGCGGCUUAUCAGCUUGUUGGUGGGGUAGUGGCUUACCAAGGCUUUGACGGGUAGCCGGCCUGGGAGGGUGACCGGCGACAUUGGGACUGAGAGACGGCCCAGACUCCUACGGGAGGCAGUAGGGGGGAAUAUGGCACAAUGGGCGGAAGCCUGAUGCAGCAACGCCGCGUGUGGGAUGACGGUCUUCGGGUUGUAAACCGCUUUCGCCUGUGACGAAGCGUGAGUGACGGUAAUGGGUAAAGAAGCACCGGCUAACUACGUG